Molecule: ribosomal RNA, 455 nt
Filed under: uncultured bacterium
Lineage: Bacteria
Description: bacterial SSU rRNA
Rfam family: Bacterial small subunit ribosomal RNA
Source: RNAcentral
UACGGAAGGCAGCAGGGGGAAUAUUGCACAAUGGGCGAAAGCCUGAUGCAGCUAUGCCGCGUGUAUGAAGAAGGCCUUAGGGUUGUAAAGUACUUUCAUCGGGGAGGAAAAACAAAACUAAUAAUUUUAUUUCUUGACGUUACCCGAAAAAGAAGCACCGGCUAACUCCGUGCCAGCAGCCGCGGUAAUACGGAGGGUGCUAGCGUUAAUCAGAAUUACUGGGCGUAAAGAGCACGUAGGUGGUUUUUUUAAGUCAGAUGUGAAAUCCCUGGGCUUAACCUAGGAACUGCAUUUUGAAACUGAAAUACUAGAGUAUCGUAGAGGGAGGUAGAAUUCUAGGUGUAGCGGUGAAAUGCGUAGAUAUCUGGAGGAAUACCUGUGGCGAAAGCGGCCUCCUAAACGAAUACUGACACUGAGGUGCGAAAGCGUGGGGAGCGAAACAGGGAUUAGAUACC